UGCGAGUCGAAUGUUAGCAAUACAUGGCGUACUUGCUCAGUAACACGUGGACAACCUACCCUUAGGUCGGGGAUAAACCCGGGAAACUGGGUAUAAUACCCGAUAGUCCUCGGAUGCUGGAAUGCACCGAGGUCUAAAGCUCCGGCGCCUAAGGAUGGGUCUGCGGCCUAUCAGGUAGUAGUGGGUGUAGCGUACCUACUAGCCUACGACGGGUACGGGUUGUGAGAGCAAGAGCCCGGAGAUGGAUUCUGAGACACGAAUCCAGGCCCUACGGGGUGCAGCAGACGCGAAAACUUUACAAUGCUGGAAACAGCGAUAAGGGGACCUCGAGUGCCAGGUUACAAAUCUGGCUGUCGUGAUGCCUAAAAAGCAUUGCAUAGCAAGGGCCGGGCAAGACCGGUGCCAGCCGCCGCGGUAACACCGGCGGCUCGAGUGGUA
Molecule: ribosomal RNA, 438 nt
Filed under: uncultured archaeon
Lineage: Archaea
Description: bacterial SSU rRNA
Rfam family: Archaeal small subunit ribosomal RNA
Source: RNAcentral